AGGUCACUGCUAUCGGGGUUCGAUUUAGCCAUGCGAGUCGAGAGGGUUCGGCCCUCGGCGUACUGCUCAGUAACACGUGGAUAACCUGCCCUAGGGAAGGGGAUAACCCCGGGAAACUGGGGAUAAUACCCUAUAGAUUACAGAUGCUGGAAUGCCCUGUAAUCCAAAGUUCCGACGCCCUAGGAUGGAUCUGCGGCCGAUUAGGUUGUUGUUGGGGUAAUGGCCCAACAAGCCCGUAAUCGGUACGGGUUGUGGGAGCAAGAGCCCGGAGUUGGAUUCUGAGACACGAAUCCAGGCCCUACGGGGCGCAGCAGGCGCGAAAACUUUACAAUGCGGGCAACCGUGAUAAGGGAACCUCGAGUGCCUGUAAAUGCAGGCUGUUCAGGUGCCUAAAACACACCUGAAGAAAGGGCCGGGCAAGACCGGUGCCAGCCGCCGCGGUAAUACCGGCGGCUCGAGUGGUGGCCGCUUUUAUUGGGCUUAAAGCGUUCGUAGCUGGGUUGUUAAGUCUCUUGGGAAAUCUGGCGGCUUAACCGUCAGGCGUCUAAGGGAUACUGGCAAUCUUGGAACCGGGAGAGGUGAGGGGUACUUCGGGGGUAGGAGUGAAAUCCUGUAAUCCUCGAGGGACCACCUGUGGCGAAAGCGCCUCACCAGAACGGCUUC
Molecule: ribosomal RNA, 663 nt
Filed under: uncultured archaeon
Lineage: Archaea
Description: bacterial SSU rRNA
Rfam family: Archaeal small subunit ribosomal RNA
Source: RNAcentral